AACAAUUACAAGUCCGACAC
This 20-nucleotide non-coding RNA is filed under the name Sclerotinia sclerotiorum. The record is from RNAcentral. Lineage: Eukaryota; Fungi; Ascomycota; Leotiomycetes; Helotiales; Sclerotiniaceae.